UCGAACGCGAACGAUUUUCUUCGGAGAAAUUANUAGAGUGGCGCACGGGUGAAUAACGCGUAAGUAAUCUACCCUGGCAUUUGGGAUAACUCAGCGAAAGCUGUGCUAAUACCGAAUACGCUGAUUAUAUCAGGAAAGGUGGCCUCUGAUUUAAGCUACCGUGCCGGGAGGAGCUUGCGUACCAUUAGCUAGUUGGUAGGGUAAAGGCCUACCAAGGCGACGAUGGUUAGCGGGUCUGAGAGGAUGAUCCGCCACACUGGAACUGGAACACGGACCAGACUCCUACGGGAGGCAGCAGUGAGGAAUAUUGCGCAAUGGGGGCAACCCUGACGCAGCGACGCCGCGUGGAUGGUGAAGGCUUUCGAGUCGUAAAAUCCUGUCAGAUGGAAAGAAGUGCAUAUUUAUUAAUACUAAAUAUGUUUGACGGUACCAUCAAAGGAAGCACCGGCUACUCCGUGCAGCACCGCGGUAAUACGGAGGGUGCAAGCGUUGUUCGGAAUUACUGGGCGUAAAGCGCACGUA
RNAcentral lists this ribosomal RNA (522 nucleotides) under uncultured prokaryote. RNAcentral's name for it is "bacterial SSU rRNA". It matches the Rfam family "Bacterial small subunit ribosomal RNA", at positions 62 to 573 of the family's 1533-position model. The record is from RNAcentral.